RNAcentral lists this ribosomal RNA (753 nucleotides) under uncultured Candidatus Poseidoniales archaeon. RNAcentral describes it as "bacterial SSU rRNA". It matches the Rfam family "Archaeal small subunit ribosomal RNA", at positions 102 to 857 of the family's 1478-position model. Lineage: Archaea; Methanobacteriati; Thermoplasmatota; Candidatus Poseidoniia; Candidatus Poseidoniales. The record is from RNAcentral.
GGGUAACCUGCCCUAUGCUGGAUAAUAACCUCGGGAAACUGAGAAUAAUGAUCCAUAGUUCACUACGCCUGGAACGGUGAGUGGAUGAAAGCUCCGGCGGCAUAGGAUGGGCCUGCGGCGUAUCAGGUUGUAGGGGGUGUAACGUACCCUCUAGCCCUCUACGCGUACGGGUGUUGGGAGACAUAGCCCGGAGAUGGAUUCUGAGACACGAAUCCAGACCCUACGGGGUGCAGCAGGCGCGAAAACUUGGCAAUGCGAGAAAUCGUGACCAGGGAACUCCAAGUGCAUCGGGUAAGACCGGUGCUUUUCCUGACUCUAAAUAGGUCUUGGAAUAAGGGGUGGGUAAGGACGGUGCCAGCCGCCGCGGUAAUACCGGCGCCUCAAGUGGUAGUCGCUUUUAUUGGGCCUAAAACGUCCGUAGCCGGUCUGAUACAUUCGUGGGUAAAUCAACCAGCUCAACUGGUUGAAUUCUGCGAGGACGGUCAGACUUGGGACCGGGAGAGGUGUGGGGUACGCUCAGGGUAGGGGUAAAAUCCUGUCAUCCUGAGCGGACCACCUGUUGCGAAGGCGCCACACUAGAACGGAUCCGACGGUCAGGGACGAAGCCUAGGGGCACGAACCGGAUUAGAUACCCGGGUAGUCCUAGGUGUAAACGCUGUGGACUUGAUGUUGGGGGUGCUCCGAGCACUCUCAGUGUCGAAGCGAAGGUGAUAAGUCCACUGCCUGGGAAGUACGGUCGCAAGGCUGAAACUU